RNAcentral lists this ribosomal RNA (631 nucleotides) under Bacillus subtilis. RNAcentral's name for it is "bacterial SSU rRNA". It matches the Rfam family "Bacterial small subunit ribosomal RNA", at positions 64 to 677 of the family's 1533-position model. Lineage: Bacteria; Bacillati; Bacillota; Bacilli; Caryophanales; Bacillaceae. The record is from RNAcentral.
GAGCGGACAGAUGGGAGCUUGCUCCCUGAUGUUAGCGGCGGACGGGUGAGUAACACGUGGGUAACCUGCCUGUAAGACUGGGAUAACUCCGGGAAACCGGGGCUAAUACCGGAUGGUUGUUUGAACCGCAUGGUUCAAACAUAAAAGGUGGCUUCGGCUACCACUUACAGAUGGACCCGCGGCGCAUUAGCUAGUUGGUGAGGUAACGGCUCACCAAGGCAACGAUGCGUAGCCGACCUGAGAGGGUGAUCGGCCACACUGGGACUGAGACACGGCCCAGACUCCUACGGGAGGCAGCAGUAGGGAAUCUUCCGCAAUGGACGAAAGUCUGACGGAGCAACGCCGCGUGAGUGAUGAAGGUUUUCGGAUCGUAAAGCUCUGUUGUUAGGGAAGAACAAGUACCGUUCGAAUAGGGCGGUACCUUGACGGUACCUAACCAGAAAGCCACGGCUAACUACGUGCCAGCAGCCGCGGUAAUACGUAGGUGGCAAGCGUUGUCCGGAAUUAUUGGGCGUAAAGGGCUCGCAGGCGGUUUCUUAAGUCUGAUGUGAAAGCCCCCGGCUCAACCGGGGAGGGUCAUUGGAAACUGGGGAACUUGAGUGCAGAAGAGGAGAGUGGAAUUCCACGUGUA